UACGUAGGCAGCGAGCGUUGUUCGGAGUUACUGGGCGUAAAGGGCGCGUAGGCGGCCUCCGCAAGUCGACUGUGAAAUCUCCGGGCUUAACCCGGAAAGGUCAGCCGAAACUGCGGGGCUAGAGUGCAGAAGGGGCAACUGGAAUUCUCGGUGUAGCGGUGAAAUGCGUAGAUAUCGAGAGGAACACCUGCGGCGAAGGCGGGUUGCUGGGCUGACACUGACGCUGAAGCGCGAAAGCUAGGGGAGCGAACGGG
RNAcentral lists this ribosomal RNA (254 nucleotides) under uncultured bacterium. RNAcentral's name for it is "partial 16S ribosomal RNA". It matches the Rfam family "Bacterial small subunit ribosomal RNA", at positions 524 to 776 of the family's 1533-position model. The record is from RNAcentral.